UUUUAGAAGACAUCUGAAGGCAGCCCUAUUUAGGGAAGUUUUUAAUGUCUGAUGUUUUAUUGUGUUUUUAGUAUUCUGUUGGAAGCCGCCCAGAGUGGCUGGGGAAACCCAGUCAGAUGGGCAGGGUAUAAAUAAUACAUUACAGUGGUACCUCAGGUUAAGAACUUAAUUCGUUCUGGAGGUCCGUUCUUAACCUGAAACCGUUCUUAACCUGAGGUACCACUUCAGCUAAUGGGGCCUCCCGCUGCCGCCGCCGCCACCACACGAUGUCUGUUCUCAUCCUGAAGCAAAGUUCUUAACCCAAGGUACUAUUUCUGGGUUAGCGGAGUCUGUAACCUGAAGCGUAUACUGUAACCCAAGGUACCACUGUAUUAUUAUUAUUAUUAUUAUUAUUAUUAUUAUUAUUAUUAUUCCCAUAAGGGGCAUCUGGUCAUUCACUGUGGAAACAGGAUGUUGAGCGAGAUGGGCCUCAUCCAGCAGGCUCCUCUUACGUUCUUGUUCAAGCCCUGGAACCCCAGAUACCAGCCACCUGCGAAACUCACCACCACCCCCAGCUCACCUGGCUGACGGAGCUAAAACGCAGAGCCCAGGACCCCUGAUCGCUUUCCUCCAUCGCCACAUCGCCCCGUACCCCGCCAGUCCUCCACCGUGGGCGUUCGCCUUUCCGUCGUCGCUCAGCUCUCUGGAACUCCGCCUUCCACCUCCCGAAGCAGGACGCCAGAAGACGCUGCCCCCUGGCCCUCUCCAACCACGCUAGAGUCAUGCGCCAUGUAGAAAAGCGGUCGGCUGCCGCGGACCAGGAAGUGAAAGCCCUGGAGAGGAGAGCCCGCUUGCGGUGUUGUUCUGCCUUCAGGUUUUGCACAAUCCUGGCCGACCAAAACGCAAAGCAUUUCGCCAGCAGCUGCCUCCGAUUCUGGGUGUGGCCAUAACCCAGAGGGAACGGCGCUUGCAUGUGAAGAUCUGUGGCAGCGAGAUCUUGCGAGUCACUGGGGAAAUGGCUGGGAGAAGGGGAGCCGUGAUGAGGAAGGUGCCCUGAGUCUUCAAUCGUCAACGACGAGGAGAUGCUAGCCUGGCUACCGUCCUCCGAGCUGCCUUCCUAUUCCCAGUCAUGAAAUGACAGAAGUAUUAAUUUUGUGCUUCUAAAUGCUGGUUUAUUUAAGAUUAUAUACAGAGAGAGUGAGUCUCUACUGCUACAGGAAGAGACCCACUAAAUAAUAAUAAUAAUAAUAAUAAUAAUAAUAAUAAUAAUUUAUUUAUGCCCCGCCCAUCUGGCUGAGUUUCCCCAACCACUCUGGGCG
This 1298-nucleotide long non-coding RNA is filed under the name Podarcis muralis (Common wall lizard). Its description in RNAcentral is "lncRNA (ENSPMRG00000022185.1)". Lineage: Eukaryota; Metazoa; Chordata; Lepidosauria; Squamata; Lacertidae. The record is from RNAcentral.